ACACAGACUAAACCCUGAGUGUAUUUUGAGAAACCUUUGACAAAGGUAAGAGAUACAAUACUCUGCUUUCCGCAGAGGGUCCUUGUGGUCCACCUGCACAGCACAGGAUGUCCCCUGACAGCAGAGGCUCAGACAGGGCUCAGCUG
Molecule: long non-coding RNA, 146 nt
Organism: Oxyura jamaicensis (ruddy duck)
Lineage: Eukaryota; Metazoa; Chordata; Aves; Anseriformes; Anatidae
Exons: 3
Source: RefSeq, a predicted model, not a curated record